GGCAAAAAUGUCAAGAACAAUGAAGAACACUCAUGAAAAACUCAAAAAAUUUCCAUGAACAUUUUUCACCCAAAGACAUCCCAAAACCAUUAAAACUUAAGGGAAAUAACAUAUAACCAAACUAGGGUACAUAGGGGUUCCAAAAGUUACUUGAAAACACUUUUAACAAGUCAAACAUGAACCCAAAAAACCACCCUUUGGAUUUGGCCGAAUUUUCCCAAAAACAUGGCACCAAAUUUUAGCUCCAAUAUUCAUGCUCAUAUGAACUACAUCUACAACAUUUGAGAUGGCAAAUUUUCCAACAAAAUUUACAUUCAAAGAAACAAGAAUAAAGCUUGUAACAUAUUACAACAUUUAAAUCAAAACUAUGAACUACAAAACCCAAAAGGAUUCACCAACUACUAGACCUAGGCUCUAAUACCACUUGAAGGAAAUUUUGUGAAAAACAUGUUCAUUUGAGCAACAUCUAUAGCAUGCAAUUAACAAAUUUAAAGGCGGAAUCAUGCUUGUAUGCACUCAAAAACAAAACAUUACCCAUGAAAUUCAAAGCCUAAUAGAUUGGUGAACCUUGACUCAACUUAAAACAACAUUUGUUAGUUGAGAAAUUAUACCUUUGUAGAUUCCUCUUUGCAUAAGCAAAGGCUAAUCACCCAAAAAGAGGGCCUUCAUUCCUUGCAUCUUAGAUCUAUGGAUUUGGAUGGAUGAAAUGGUUCUCCAAGUUUCCAAAAUUGAGAACCUCUAAGUCUCUUCACCAAGGUUAGAUUGGAGAAGAAAUGAGUGACCUUGGAGUAGUAGGAUUGCUAGCUAAACCCUCCAAGGAGGCCGGCCACUUUAGAGAGAAGGGAGAGCUUAUGUUCUCAUCCUUUCCCCAAAAGAAAACCCUAAUGAAUUUUGGCUAUAAAGUCAUAUUUAUACCUUAAUUCAUUGGAGUGGCAAACUUGUAAAUAAGUCCAAAACUCACUCCAUCUCUAAAUGGCCGGCCUUAGGGUAUUAUUAGGCUAAUUGGGCCUUUGUGAAUCAUUAUUCAUUAAGUUGUCAUACAACUUAAGUCAAUGGGCUUGACUUUCGAAGUCCAUUCGGCCUUAAGGUCCAAAACUAUCCUGAGGUCUUUAACGAACUUAUUCGUUUGAUUAAUUAACAUAUUAAUUAAUCUUUGCCAUAAAUAAUUAAACCAUUUAAUUAUUCUUACUCAUCUCCAUUGUUUCUUCAAUCUCCACCUUAUACGGUGUACGAUCCAUUAGGUUCCUUUUAGCGAGGCAGUGGGCGAUUAAAACCAUUUCAAAUCGAUUGCGAAUUGAAACUUACUUUCAAUUCUCCCUUUAGUGAUUAUACACGUUUAGGGCUUCCACAAACCAUGAGUGACACCUAGCAGUAUAUAAUGGUUACCCAAGCUAAUCAGAAGAGGUGGAGAACCUAUUCAGUUUAGGAUUACAAAUGCAAUACGGUCUUUCUCUAAUACAAUACUUUUGACCGCAUUGUUUGGUUUGAUAGUUUAUUCAUGUCUAUUAUCCAAUGUGAUUCGUGUGCUUAUAUGAUUACCUUGAAUGUGAUUUGGAACGACUUCCUCAAUCUCAUUCAUACUCUGGCCAGAGAUUCUUAAUCAUAUCAUAGAGUAUUCUCCCCCAAACAGUUUGAAGGUUAGAGAUCCCUUGUUGCGCAUUCACUUGCCUCCAUGGCUAAGUGGCUUAACCCCGACGAUGCCGUGGACACCCGCGGAUGGGGUGACUUUGACAUAAUCAAAGAUCAAGUACCUAACCACAAGACAACUAUGAUGCCUCAGGUCAAAAGACUACUUUGCAUUAUCCCAACCAUGAGUU
RNAcentral lists this long non-coding RNA (1817 nucleotides) under Malus domestica (apple). RNAcentral's name for it is "long non-coding RNA (MDOM_LNC001734)". Lineage: Eukaryota; Viridiplantae; Streptophyta; Magnoliopsida; Rosales; Rosaceae. The record is from RNAcentral.